Long non-coding RNA from Syngnathus acus (greater pipefish), 1153 nucleotides. RefSeq lists it as uncharacterized. The record is from RefSeq and is a predicted model, not a curated record. NCBI's taxonomy places the organism in Eukaryota, Metazoa, Chordata, Actinopteri, Syngnathiformes, Syngnathidae. The transcript is spliced from 3 exons.
AUAUUAGUACCCGUCCUGGCUCGGCGCCUGUAGCAAAUAUAGAUUUUACGGCAAGUGGACUUUACAUAAUACUCAAAAGGGCAGGCAGAGAUCCAGCAAGGUUGAAAUAUUUGCCACUUGUGAAAUUAAUAAAGAUAGUCCCGGCCUUCUUCCUGUGUGUGUUCUCCCCAGGUUCCUCCCUCAUUCCAAAACAAGAUUCUGACACUAUGUGACUCAAAUUCUGGCCUUGAGUGAGAAUAUGAACGUGAAUAGUUGUUUGUCCGCAAUUGCCCUUGUGAUUGGCUGGCUACCAGACUCCAGGGCGGACACCGCCACUCACCAGUGGAGCCUGUAAUUCUUGACCGAAACAUAAAAUGGCGUCCUAAUCAGCAAUGGAUUGUUCCUCUUACCCCUUUGUUGAGCACGGAUCUUUCACCGGACCAGGCCGAUAACCCGGCCAGUGCGGCUGUGAGGGGAGGGGCCAGGGCCUCACAAAGAGGCUGCAGUGAUGCUUAGCGGCUCUGAGGUAGCCGUAGCGCUGCAGCAUGUCGCAUGCAUGGGACUGCGGAAGAGGGUGCGUAGAAUUGAUGGACAGGUGGAGCAAGCACAAGCUUGCAUGUCUCUCCUUCAAGGCAUACGGCACAUAUUUUGCAUUGUCCAUUAUUCAUGCGAAAGCAGCUGUAGACUGCACACAAAUGCACAUGCAUGUUUCCAAGGCUACAUGGCUCUUCUUGAUUGUUUAUCUCUGACUGUGCUGAGAUAAAUUUGUUUUAAUUAGCUCUAAUUAUAGGCGAGGCAGGCUAGUGAACUGAAGAGCAAAGGCUUAAUUCCUAUAUGCGACAGACUCACUAUACAAUAUAAGACAUGGCGCACCUUUGAAGCAUUGAUGCACAGUAUCGAUCGUAACGUGGAAAAAUAGCACGCACAUCAUAUUUUGGGUGUCGAAAAUACGGCUAGGCCCGCUGCUCACUAAUAUCAACCGGAGUGGCUCAAAUCUAGAGCUGACGCCGUGGGAUUUCCUAUCCUAUUAAUAUUGCUAUUUCGAGCCAUCUGGCCUACUGUGGACAAGACAGUCUAUAACUGAGAAUGUUGGUUCUAGUGACCGAAAUAGAUGUCUUACUUCCUAUACACUGGAAGGCAAAUGUGAGUGUGUGAAAUAAAAAAAAGAGCGAAA